UACGUAGGGUGCAAGCGUUAAUCGGAAUUACUGGGCGUAAAGCGUGCGCAGGCGGUGAUGUAAGACAGGUGUGAAAUCCCCGGGCUUAACCUGGGAACUGCAUUUGUGACUGCAAGGCUGGAGUGCGGCAGAGGGGGAUGGAAUUCCGCGUGUAGCAGUGAAAUGCGUAGAUAUGCGGAGGAACACCGAUGGCGAAGGCAAUCCCCUGGGCCUGCACUGACGCUCAUGCACGAAAGCGUGGGGAGCAAACAGG
This 253-nucleotide ribosomal RNA is filed under the name uncultured bacterium. RNAcentral's name for it is "partial 16S ribosomal RNA". It matches the Rfam family "Bacterial small subunit ribosomal RNA", at positions 524 to 776 of the family's 1533-position model. The record is from RNAcentral.